Eriocheir sinensis (Chinese mitten crab) is the source of this 1510-nucleotide long non-coding RNA. RefSeq lists it as uncharacterized. The record is from RefSeq and is a predicted model, not a curated record. Lineage: Eukaryota; Metazoa; Arthropoda; Malacostraca; Decapoda; Varunidae. The transcript has 4 exons.
CUGAGGCACAGACGCGACCACUGGAGGAUGAGUGAACCAGGGGAGCGUUGGAAGACUACUGUGGCGAGGACUGAUCAACAGGGAACGUAUGUGGGUCACUUUGAUAGACAUGAUCGCGAAAUCAGUUAGCCACUGCGGCACGCGGGGACACAAGGACAUCGCGGGGAGCACAGAGACAAGCACUGAGGCACAGGAUUAACCGCAGGGACAUGGGUAGAAAACUAGGACAGGGAUGGGUAACUGAAGCAUGAAGAAGGGCCACAGAGGCACCAUUGAGUGAACCAUUGGAACACGAAGACACCACCGGAACGAGAAAUAAACAGACAAGUCACAGAUGCAAUAAUUGUUAAUCGCACAAAACAUGUGCUAGAUCGGCGUCGCAUGACCCUCCAACACACCCAAAACAAUGUAUAUUAUGCAACUAGGGGUCUAAAAUGGAAAAUGCUGAAAAGUAAAAAUGGCGCCACUAUAAAAACUUGCCUGCGCCACAACGGGCUGGGGCCGACCAUCAGGCCCUACUUUGAAGGCCUGUCGGCGCCACAGGCCAAGACGUAAAAAGCAAACAACAACAAAAAAAAGCUGACUUUGUUGCUAAUGCCAUGUUGUAGGGUUCAUCAGGGCUAACAAAUGUUAUUAUACAAUGUCAUGUCUACAAUGCAUGGGUAAGCCAGGAAAACAACUUGAAGAGAGCAACAACACCAACAACAACGCCGGGAGGGCCUUUGGGGCACAAGGGGUCCAUCGGGGCAUAGGUGGGACCAUUAAAGUAAGAAUGAACCACAAGAAAACAUGGUAAGCCGGGGCAUGAUUGGAGAGUUUUAGCACGGGGGGAAGAAUUCGGUAACGGGUGAAAACUUGGUAACUCGAUAAACACAACGGCACGACGUUCCCGAAGCCUCCCGCAAGCUACCAGUCAUCCCUACAUUGGCACUUUGAACACGGGUGGAUCGCUGACGCUCGUGUUAAUACCGAGGAUUGAACGGUGAGCUAUGGCGCUACUGGAACACCGAGGCACUGAUUGAGGCACUGGGGGAGACACUUUUGGAGACACAGGGGACCAAGGGAUAAUGUGAGAGCAGCGGUUACCGGAAGCUCAGCGGGGAUCGACUGAGCAGUGUUGAAAGGGGUAAACGCUCCUCUGUUCUGGAUGUAGCUGGUGUGUACUGGCUCAUCGGCGAAGAUCAAUAUACAUACUACAGCAACUACACCGAAGAGAUUUGAUACGAUUGACCAUGGAGAAGUUGAAAGCAGGCAUCUUUGACGGUCCUCAGCUCCAUCAGCUCAUCAGAGAUCCAGAGUUUGAAAACUCAAUGAACGAAGUGGAACUGGAAGCGUGGAAGGCUUUUGUUCUUGUCGUGAAGAACUUUAUUGGUUUCCCUGCUGUCCACCUCUUGGAUGACGUACCUGAGCUUGGCAACCACAGCCUCAAUGUCAGCUGUGGAGGCAUCGUGGUGGGUGACAAAGCGCACGGCGUCACAGGCCCAGGGCAGCACCUUCACUACAAUGCUGC